Cryptotermes secundus is the source of this 811-nucleotide long non-coding RNA. RefSeq lists it as uncharacterized. The record is from RefSeq and is a predicted model, not a curated record. The transcript is spliced from 5 exons. NCBI's taxonomy places the organism in Eukaryota, Metazoa, Arthropoda, Insecta, Blattodea, Kalotermitidae.
AUUACCGUCCUAUAAUGGAACUGAUAAUGGAAUGUUUUUGUUUCAGUCAUGUUAAGAGGUUGGCUGCCCUGUCACUGUGACCUAAAUAUCCGGUGUACAAAAUCAAGGGCUCUUCCUCAACUUAAAGCAGUAGCAGCGCGCGCCUAGUGCCGAGACGGGACUAGACAGCUUUGAAGUUUGUUUUCAAGUCAUCAAAAUCCGGGCCCAGGUCAUAAAUGCAAUCCUUGGCUGCACCGUCAGGAUUCCAACUCUGAAGCCACGUGAGCAGUAACGGUGUGUGCUGUAUGGUGUCGACAGUAAGUGACAUUCGUGACUGAGGACCCAAACACAGAAGAACAAAUUCACGGACUUGGGUUACUCCACUGUGCGUCGUGUUCAGCCAUGAAGCCACUCUCGCUCUAAUUUACUUCUGCUGAACCAUUCAUCUAGGAUUCAAACCCACAAUUAAGGAUUAUAACAUUUUUAAAAUUAUAUAUUGCUACAAGGCUAAACGUUUAAUAAUAAUAGAUAACACAUGAGAGAUAACAACGUAUGAAGUGUUGUAAGAAAGUUGGCGUAUUAUCAGUGGUGUUCUCAUGUUACCCAGUGAAAUAAGUGAGUGACAGUGCGCAGUUAGAAAUGAGAAGUGAAGACUUGAUUCACUUGUGAAUUUUUAUUUCUCCUGGAGGAUUUAUAUAAAUCUGACCCUACGUUAUUACCCGUUUGACCCACCGCGAUGAUGGCUUGUGGUGAAACAACGGAAGGCACUUCUACAAGCAGGAGGAGGGGGACGUCAUCAAUCAUUCUCCUUCUGCUGCUCUUCUGUCGGGAC